GACAGAGGUGGCAAGCGUUGUCCGGACUGACUGGGCGUAAAGCGCACGCAGGUGGUCGUGCAAGUGUGGUGUGAAAGCGCCCGGCUUAACCGGGCGAGGCCAUUGCAAACUGCACGACUGGAGAACGGGAGAGGUCGGUGGAAUUGCCGGAGUAGUAGUGAAAUGCGUAGAGAUCGGCAGGAACACCACAGGCGAAAGCAGCCGACUGGCCCGCUUCUGACACUCAGGUGCGACAGCGUGGGGAGCGAACUGG
RNAcentral lists this ribosomal RNA (253 nucleotides) under uncultured prokaryote. RNAcentral describes it as "partial 16S ribosomal RNA". It matches the Rfam family "Bacterial small subunit ribosomal RNA", at positions 524 to 776 of the family's 1533-position model. The record is from RNAcentral.